RNAcentral lists this long non-coding RNA (13856 nucleotides) under Zostera marina. Its description in RNAcentral is "long non-coding RNA (ZMAR_LNC000714)". Lineage: Eukaryota; Viridiplantae; Streptophyta; Magnoliopsida; Alismatales; Zosteraceae. The record is from RNAcentral.
CGGAGAUUCAGAUAACCAAAUUCGCUAUCCUUUUACUUAUUCUCUGCAAACCUAACGACGUUAAAGUUUGAUUUUACAAUCACAUUUUUUUCUCUAUUUUUUUAAUUUUUUGCAGGACAUGCUCAUUUCUUUUGAUGGUGAUCUUACAUGUUCAAGAGGAGAAGAUCGAAUUUCAAGAUUUGUACGUACCUGUUGAUCUAAUUAAACCCUCAAAUUUCAUUGUCCUCGAAGAAACUAGAAAUGCAGAAUCUAGAAGAUUGUAUUUUGAUCUCGAUUCAUUAUUUUAACGUGUAUGUAGGGUAGACAAUCUCGACCUUUGCCAUGUUGGGUGCGCUCGCAUGGCAGGUCACCUAAUAAAGAAGAAUCACUUUUUUUGGGUUGGGAGAGGAGAUCGCAUGGGAAUUGGGAUGAUAUAUUAAUUUCCCCCCAUUUUGAUAGUCCCAGGAUCAUCCUCUCCAAGAUCGGGCUUUGUGUUCUGAUCUUUUCUCCAUGGAUUGUUAUUCUUUCAUUAUCCAUUAUCCUUCCUCCCAUGCAACUUCACUCACCGACAUAAUCGAUUAAAGAUAAUAACCUGAACUCUAACCCUAACCCAUAUCCUACAAACGAGAUAUACAUUGAAUUUAAACUAAUUACGAUCUAUGAGUAAUCCGAUCCCACAAAAUGAAACGAAUGAGUUGCUAAUCUUCAAUUGAUCACCAUUCAAAUCGUCAAUCAAGGUAUAGCGCUCAUAUGCUUUCCAUUUCGCUUCGUAUAUAUAUAUAUACAUUUCGCUUCAUAUAUAUACAUUUCGCUUCGUAUAUAUAUAUAUAGCUUCAUUUUUUAUAAUUCAAAAAAUAAUAUUGUGAGAUUUAUAUUUAAAGAUAAUUGUGUUACUCCAGAAGAAUAUUUAUUUAUUUAAUUAUUAGAAUUGUCUCUAGAUGAAUAAUUACUGUUUUUUUUGGGAGAAAUGGAGAUAUUGUAUAUCACACACACACAUAUAUAUAGGGUCAGAUUCAGAUGAGAUAAGGGUUCAUGAGAUAUUAUGUGAUCAUGACCCCUCAAGUAAAAAUUUCGAUUUACCGUUUGAUGAAAAUCCGAAGGCUGAUAUGACAAAAUCUCAUGGACUAUUGUCUCAUCGAUCUAAUUUUUAUCCCAUGCAUAUUUGAUGGAUGAUAUUGCUCGCGAUCGGGAAACAAAACUCUGGGGUGAUAAUAAAGAGGCCGCGGGUAUGUUGCAUUCGAAGGUGCAGAAGAAAAUAAAUACUAUGGACUUCUGACUUAGGUAUAUACUUAUCUCAAAACAAUGUGAUUGAAAAAUUGACAAAGGAAUGCAAAAUAGAACAUUUAAUUUAAAAUAUCUUAAUUAACAUUAUUUUUGUAGAAUGAAGAAGUUGGUAAUCGAUAAAGUUUGAUUAUUGCGAUGUUUGCAAGGCUACCCAUAGUUCGACUAUAUAAUUGAAGGCCGUUGGUAUUGAAAUCAACGAUCCCAUACAUUUCUUGUACUUGGAGCAAGAGAUUGUACAUUAAUCAAUCCCAAAUUAUUGAAACUCUAAAGUGGCGACUUUGCCUAACCCCAAGAGAUCGACGAUGAGUAAUGUAAAAUUAGCCACGGAUUUAAUCAAAGGGCUUUGAAAAUUGGUUCUGAACACAAGUCUUAUUUCUUGUUGUGAUGGCAAGAAAUAUAUAAGAAAAAUUAGGGUUUUCAAAAAUUAUUAUUUAUUUACUUUGAAAAAAAUCAUAUACUUGAUAAGUGCUUUUUAUAUUCUUUUUUUGUUUAUAAACAAAAAUUCUAACUUAUUUUCUUUGCAUCCAUUUUGUAUUGAAAAUCACUACAAAAAAUAAGAUACUGUGAAACAGAUUACUGACGAAUUAAAGAUGAUCGAUGGUAGAAAUCUCUUGUAUUCAGGACUAUCACCAAAAUACGAGUUCUAUCACUAAUAGACCGUCGACAAAAGAGACUCCAUGAUUCUCACCUAAAAAGCAGAUUUGAAUUUCGUGGUCAAAAUCCACCACUGAUGAUAUUUUUUCAACGAGUAGUAAAAAAAUUCCGAAAUUUUUAUACAUUAAAAAUUUAAUUUAUAAAUUAAUAAUAGAAGAUAAUUUAAUUAUGAGUAUUUUGAGUUCUGAAUAUAACUUUUUUAUAUAUAUGGUUAAUUUCUAACCAUUUUCAAAAUAUUGUAUCACUAUAAGAAAGAAAGUUAUUUAAAAUAAGGAUUGGUUUUUAGUGAGAAUGGUUAUAAAAUAAUGGGUGAGAAUGUAAAUCUCAUCCAUCCAUUCUUAUGGGUAUAUAUGUAUACUUUUAUAUAUUUGAAAGUAUGAGAGACCAACCUCCUGAGACCACGUAUUUAGUUACUGUAUAACUAGACUACAUAGCUAAUGAAAGAGAGUCAAUGAGUUUCUUACUCGUUCUUUUUAAUAAAUUUAAUUGCUUUCAAAAAAAAACUUUUAUAUAUUUUAUUAUUAUUUGAUUUUACCGUUGGAUUAGAUUUUGUCGGUCAAAUGAAUUCAUUCUCAAAUAGUGUUGAAAUAAGACUUUCUCAUGUGAACCUUGCCUUUUAAAAUAAUCCAACACCUAUAAAAAUGUCCCAUUCUAAAGAGACUUUAGUUGUUUUGCAAUCCCUGGACUGGGUUAAGUUGUUGAUCGAUCAGAUCUAGAGCAUUAACUAAUUAACUGAUAAUUCAGGGAUCUGACUAUCUGAUUUCUUGAUUUAUGAGCAAGGAUCUCACUAUUGGGAGCGACAUCGUCUCUGCUUGGGAAGAGAUGACAACGACAAUUGAUUCAUAGUAUGAAUCGAGCCCUCCAAGGACAUAAACGACCACUUCCGAUGUCUCAGUCUUGACUCUGACAGUUCGUAAAUCGUCAACUAGCCUUUUGAUUUUGGUUAGAUACUCAUCAAUUGGAGAGUCACCUUUCUUGAUUUGUUGCAAUUGCUGUCUGAUUUGCAAUAUCCGGGAUCCAGAAGUGCAUGCAUGCAUUUCUUGGAGUUGUUUCCAAGUUACGUCGGAAGUUUCAACGCCGGCAACCUACGUGAGGAUGUGUGACUGGAACGAUGAGAAGAUCCAUCCCAGUAAAAGCUGAUCUUGCUGAAUCUUCAGUGUAUCAUCAAGGAUGACUGAACCAUCUACAUAAGAUAAGAGGCCAUAUCCCUUCAAGAGCGUGCUGAACUACUUCCGCCAAGUGAAGAAAUUCGUUAUGGCGAGUUUCUAUGCUUGCAGGUACUUGAUUUUCACAAGUUUGGAAGAGCUACCGACGUUCAUCAUGGCGAUUUGCAGAAUAAGUACCCAAUCGUUACCUAACAAUCUGAUACCAUAUUACAAUCAAUGAGCUUGACUGAAUUCAUUGUAUUUCACACUCCUCAAUUAAUACAUGUUUCUAUAUAUCUAUUUAUAAUAGUAUUCAAUUAAAUAACUAAUUAAUUGAUAAUCCAGUUAUUAUUUUUUAAUACAGGGAACCUGGAUGCCGCCCAGGCCCCUAGACCCAAGAGGUAGUUCUAGAAGUACAUGCAUGAAUCUUAGGGGAUCAUGCAUCAUCUGUUUCCUUAUGUCUUGCGAGAAUUAUUCUUUAACUCCGCCUUUGGCAAAUUGCCAUUGCCGGUCCCCAGCCCGGAUCAAAGGAGGAGGGAAGGAUUAUUUAAGAUAACCAUUAUUUGGAUCAUUUCUUCUCAUUUUGUAUUUUCGUGGUUGGGAUCACAAGUGAACGCAAUCGAUCUUAACAAUUUACAAGCUAACCAUAAAGUUUUGAAGUAUUUGCUGAUCACACAAGUCUGAAGUAUAUAUUUAGAGUUAGGGUUAGUAGUCAACCGUGAAAAAGACUACAUAAUAUCUUUUAAAGAUGAUAUCUUUAAAAAAGAAUGUGACUCACAAUUGGAAAGGAAAAGACAACCCUCCUGAGACCCAAUUCUAACUAGAGCACUAAGAAGGAUAGCUAUAUAAGAGAAGGUCGAUAUAAUGGGAAACCACAAUAUCAAUCCCAUCACAUUUUUUUUCAUUUGUAUUUUAGGGCAUUGUCUUUCAUUAUCUUUAAUGAAAACUUUUAAUAUUUGCAAAAAAAAAAGCACACGAGACAUAGACGAUAUUUGAGUUUGUAAAAUAUCAAAACUUAGUGUGAAAUCACCGGAGUUGAGUGAGAUCACCGGACUUGAGUCAGAAUGGAAUGUGAUUUAUUCAUUGAUAUUGAUGAGUUUAUAUAGUAUUGAUUUACAACUAACUUAUAACUAACUAUCUAAAUAUCUUUGUUUUGACCCUCAGGCCCGACGACUAUACUCGUCAAGAGAUGUUCGAUUUAUAGAAGAGGACUUCAUGUUAAAUAAAAGUUUAUGGAAAGAGGUAAAUGAACAUUUUCCAGAUCCGGUAAAAGUGAGCUCCCCACCGAUUGUAAGUCAUCCGAAUAUAAUCAUUCAAUCAAUAUCCGGUCAUAUUGUGCAAUCAGGCAGCCAAGAUACUACUCAACCAUAAUUGGAAAUAACUAGUCCAAUUGAAUCAUCGGAUGAAUCAGAAGUAGUACCCGAAGAAGAAAGGCAGGAAGAAACAGAGAGCACUAACAACCAAGUUAUACAACCUAUGCUAACCAGAAGUGCGAAAGGAAUUUUCAAGUCAAAUCCUCGGUAUGCUCUAACGGUAGCAGCAAGUACCAUAGAUAACGAUAUGCUCUAAUGAUGCCGGAGUUGAGUGAGAAUGGAAUGCGAUUUAUUUAUUGGUAUUGAUGAGUUUAUACAGUAUCUAACUCAUAACUAACUAUCUAAAUAUCUAGUUAGUUAUCUAUCUUAACAUAAAAGAUUUUAAAUUUGAAUUGACAUACAUAAGAGUUCAUUCAAAUCAUUCAUACUUAUCACUAACUCUAAAUCCACAGGACUUCCUCACAUUGAUUUAUUUGGAUCAACCCAAACCUAAAGUUUUUGAGGAAAAAGAUUGAUAUAUGCAAAAUAAAAAUAUUUUAGGAAAUCCAUAUUAAAUCAACUUUCAACUAAUUUCUAUUUUAAGUUUGUUAACAAUAACCUUUAAAACUAUUGAAUUUUAUAUAAAAAAAGUCAUUUCCCAUAAAAAAAGCUAUCUAUUUUUAUGAACCUAUUGUUUGGUUUCUAUAUUUAAGAAUCCACCCCCUAUAUAUUUAUUCUCCUAGGCCAGAGAUUCAGAUAUCUGAAUUCACUAUCAUUUGAUUUGUUAUUGGUAUUUGUUUUUCAAUCACAUUUUUUAAAUUUGUUGCAGGAUAUGCUUAUUUCUUGUGUUGGAGAUCUUACAUGUUCAAGAGGAGGAAAAUUUUGAGAUUUGUGCGUACCAUCUGAACUAAUUACAUCGUCGUAGAAGAAACUAGAUGAUUGUAUUUUGAUCUCGAUUCAUUAUUUUGACGUGUAUGUAGGGUAGACAAUCUCGACCUUUGCCAUGUUGGGUGCGCUCGCAUGGCAGGUCACCUAAUAAAGAAGAAUCACUUUUUUGGGUUGGGAGAGGAGAUCGCAUGGGAAUGGGGAUGAUUUUACUCCCUUUUUGAUAUUCCCAGGGUCAUCCUCUCCAAGGUCCGACCUCUGCAAGGCCGGACUCUGUGUUCUCUUUUCUGUUUGUCUUCUUUCAUUAUCUAUUAUCCUCCCUCCCAUGCAACUUCCCUCACCGACAUCAUCGAUUAAAGAUAAUAACUCGUUCGUGCCCUCUUAAUCGUUAAAAUCAACGAUCAGCGAAAUCAUUUAUAAUCAUAAAAACGAGGUAUAGAUUGAAUUUAAAUCAAUUACGCUUCUACGACGAUUAAUCAAUUAUCGUAAAAUGAAUCAAAUGAUUUGGUUGUUGAUCAAAGUAAUUAACGUUCAUUUCGAAAGCCGGUUUAUGAUUUUAAUUUCGCUUCACAUAUCUUCAUUUUUGGAUGAUUCUGAUUAUAUGAUGGAUGAUAUUGUUCGCGAUCGCGAAACGAAACUCCGUGAUAAUAAAGAGGGCAUGUUGAAUAUAUCUGCUCGAUUAUCUCAAACGUCAAUAAAGGAAAAUCAAUUGCUAAAAGUUAAUCGCGAUUUUAUAUCUUCUCUUUGUAAGUAUGUUUUAAUUAGUUAAAUUUAUCAUUUUUCUAUAUUUAAACAUGAAAUAAUAUAAUUUAUCAAUUUUAUACACAUGAUUGAUAAGAAAAGAUAGAAGAUUCGAUCAUGGCUAAGGUAUUUAUAUUAAGGCAUUGAAAGAAGUUUCGUGAAAUGAAAAGAUCGAUGAAGAAAUGCAUACUUUCAGUUAAGCCUAUUUGAUCCAACUAAUGUUAUUAGGUCAAUGGCAACCUUGUUAUUUUAUCCAACUUUGAAGGUAUUUAUUAAGUUGAUAUAAAAUAACAUAAGUACGGUUGUGGAAUUGAAACACGAACACAUCAAGAGCAACUAUGGAAGCUUGGGCUAGAAUGCUCCAACCGGCAUCAAAUUAAUAUUUUGUUUAUUAUUGUGUUAUAAUUUAAAUUCAGUAAGAACUUGUGUUAAAAGGGGAAUGUAAUACUUAGGCUAAGGGUGGGUCGGAAUUCAACUAAAAAUAGAAUUCUGACUCACAAAAGCAUCGGAAUGAUGGAAUGACCUAACAAGUCACAUCCACCGGACCCCCUAUCUCAUAUGAGGUAAGAUUCCUUGUGUAAGUAUAAACGAUAUGAGGAAUCACUUACAAAGUAGUGGACCGAAAGGUGAUGGCAGGGUUUUCCCUAGGAAAAGAAAAAGAUGUCAGUAGCACACUAGGGUUUUUUCACCCAACCAUUGUCCAAGGCCCACUACGUAAGAACGAUAAGGCAUAGAUCAUUCUAGGAAAUAUUGAGUCGAUCAGUCCCCAAAGAUUGUUGAAGGCCUAAACGAUCGUAAGAUCACUUGGCUGGAUCAAUGCGGAGGGUGUGAGGUAGAUCGCAUGUAAUCACACCUCUUUUUUUGCUUUGAGAUCUAUAUAUUGCAGGAUGAUUUUAACUCAAAAAAAAGGAAUUGAAGCAUGAAGAAGGGAGGAGGAAAGAAGAAAGGAGAGAAAAAAAGAGUUUUAUAUUUAUAGAUAUCAAUGUUGAUUGAUCAUAAAACAUUGUAUUAUUAUUUUUAUUAGUUAAUUUGUCUGCGUAGUUAACAAAAGUGAAUUCGUCAACAAAAGUGAGAAGUGGAUGAAAAUCGAUCCUCUGUAUUUAGGAUUACCACCUCAUCAAUAGAUUAAGACCAAAUUCGAUUUCAAUGUUACAACCUCAAACCUCGAACCAGUAACCUUUAAUAGUUAAUGAUGAAAGUGUUUUUGAAAUACUUUCAAUAGGUCUGUCAAUAGAUAUCCGAAAUUCGUGUUCGAAUUCAAAAUCGAAUUUAUUUAGGUUUAAUGAAAUUCAAAUACUUAAAAUACUAUCUAAAGUUAAAUGAAUUCAAAUACUCCUAAACGCAUUCGCAUAAUUAUCCAAAUUUGAAUAAGUAUAUAAAUAUAUAAUAAUUUUUACAUUUUCUAAUAUAAUGUAAUAUAUAUUGUGCUGGAUUUAUAUGUUUAAAGUAUUACAGAAGUUUUUAUUAAAAAAUAAGUAACAUAUUAUUUUUAGUAAAUGUUAUUCGAACCGAAUCCGGAUAUCCGUAUUCGGAUAUUUUAAUCGAAUUCGGAUAUUGAAUUUAAAAUUCGAAUAAUAAUCGGACGAAUUCGGAUUAUCUGGAUACUAAACGAAUUCAGAUACAAGGGUAUCCGAACUUAAUUCGUUCGAAUGACAGACGUGGACACGGAGACGACAUGGUCAGACGGAGACUGGGGAAAAUCACCGGGGGAGUGACAUCGCUUGGGGGGGGGUGUUUGUUUGGGAGAAGAAUAGAGAGAUAUAUUGGAGUAACUAAUAAAGUUAGUUACUGAUAGUUAGAUGGUUAAUGGAAGUUGUUAUUGUAUUGAAACUAGUAUAAAUAGAACUGUAAUUAAUGAUACAAUGAAAGUAAUUCAAUCAAGGGUGAAGGUAGUACGUACCAUCACUCCACGUUUUGUGAUCUCGAGUUCUUAUUCCGUUCAAUAAGAUGUCAGUGAGAGAGAGUGAGUGAGAUAUUUUUAGGCGAGAGUGAUAUAAGAAUAUAACUAGAAUACAGGGCAAAUAAGCAAUUUACCAUAAGAAACAAGCUUAAGACGUAAAGAAAUAUAAAUAACCCAAAGGUUAUGACAAAACAGAAUAAACUGUUUUGUUAUAAACUAACAGGGGUUCUUUUAUAAAUGUUUCAAUAAACGUUAUUUGAACCUAAGCGUAAUUAAAAGAAACUAAAGGUUUUCGUAAUAUAACUGAGAUCUAUAAAUACAAGGAUCGAAUUGUAAAAAUUUCAAUUACCAGUUAUAAUUAAUUUAAGGACUGUUAUGCAAAUAACACAAAACUAAAUCAGGUCAAAUAGACCUGAUUGAUAUUACUAAUAAGUUUGUAUACUUGUGCAGAAUUGUUACAGCUAAUCGGGUUUGGAUCGCACUCGGACUCGGAUCAAGUUCCAGCACAAAUAAAUUAGAAUUAAGAAAAUUAGUUACAUUUUUAGCUGUUAACAGUUUUGUAAUAUUUGUAUAAAUAAACGUGAUUAAGAAUUAAUAAUCACUCAAUGUUUUUACAAGUUAAUCAAUAAAGAAAAGAGAUUAACUAAAGAGAAACAUUUUUCUUUUCACCCCCUUUCUUCUUUCUUUCUUAUUUCACGUCCGGUAGUUAAUUCCGGUUCUCCCCAAAAUACGUUGGGCGGAAAACCCUAACUCCGAUCAGCCUCUCCAGUGGUUGAAAAGCUUCCAGACUCCGGGAAGAUCAUACAUUGCAGCAGGCGACGCCUCCAGUGCAAAAUUUAAUAAGUGACAGUUGUCACUAAUCUAAUGUAUGGUUUUUUUUAGACAUAAUAUUACACUUUGUGUCACAUUAAGUCACAAAUCAGAUUUUUUUUCACUCAUUACUAAGAUAAAUGGUCCACAAUCAUCCAUCAUUCCAUCUCACUCUCAAUUUAUUUUCAAAAAAUGGAUGGCUCAAUUUCAGAGAGAUUUUUAGCGUUUUUUCAUAAGACUUAUAGGAAAUUUAUUCUAUAAUAAAUAAAAAAGAAACUAGGGUUCAUGAACCUUUAUAGUUUAUACUCCUUUUUCCGAACCCACGUAAACCUCCUAUAAUUAGAAAGUCCCUCCUCCAUAUUAGAUUUAGGGUUACCAAAUAUACAGACCUGCGACUCUAUUCGUUCAUCGUUCUCACCGUCGUUGAGAUCCUUCGUUGAUUCGUACGAUCGAGAUUCUUCCCCACACAGGUUAGUCUCGCUCUCUUGAUCUACUACCUUCAUCGUCUCUUUCUCAAUUUCUUCUUGCCACAGAUCUUCUCGUGUUGUUAUCUCCUACAGUUUCUUUCGAUCGGGUGUCCUCAGUUAUCGCGUGCGUGGAUGUCUAUCUGCAAUGUAACAAUAGCCUGUGAAGUUGAAAAUUAGUUGAAUGAGUUUUUUGUUUUAGAAGAACUCCAAGUUUCUCUAUUGGAAAUCAUUUUUACUUCAUUUGAAAACAAGAAGAGAUGAUGUUAUAUUCAUGUGAGUUGUUUCAGUAGGAAUAAUGAAUGGAUCUCAUGAUUAUGAUUUUAAAUAUGUUGUGAUUGGUUGUAACACAAGAUUCAUCUAAUAAUCAAACAAACUUUUACUAAGAUUUUUACAGAUUUUUUUACAUAGAUUCAUCUACACAUUCCAAAUCCAUACACCAUAUAUAACUACUACUACUGCCAAAGGAUUAUUGCUAGCUCCCUGUUGAAAAAGAAAUCGUUGUCAUAAAAUAUUACCACUAACGUUAGAAUCCGAAGCAGAGACCAGUUAGGUAGAUGAUGCGACUGGGGACGAUGCUUACAAUGGAUGACGAUGACUGCUAGAUGUUUGAUAAAUGUGUUUCUUGUUCACUUAGUAAUGUCAUAAACUGUUUUUUCUUUGAUUAUUCUGUUACUAAACAUUUAGAAUUAAUAUUCAGUGAUGUUUUGGGGCCUAAUCUCUCCACACCUCAUCACAAGGUUUUAGAUAUUAUGUGAACUUUUUUGAUGUAUUCAUCGAAUUCAUUUGCAUUUUUCCAAUUCAAUGUAAGUCAGAGGUUUUUGUAAAAUUCAAUGAUUUUAAAAUAAAAGUUGAAAAUCAAUUAGAUCUCAAAAUUAAGACCUUACAAACUGAUAAUGGUGGAGUAAUAUUUUCCAAACUGAUGAAGCACUGAAUCUUCUACCAGGGCUCGCGGUGGUGCGAGGUGAUGCCGGAGGCUCUGGAGUCCACAACGCGCGCUCUACGUCAAAUACCUGCAAGUAGAAACUAGGCGAUUCUAGUGAGAAUCGGCGAGUUUCUUAGUGAUGCUCUGGUGAGAGUGGAACUUGUGUUGUGCCUUUGAGUGUCCCCUUGGGACCCUUUUUAUAGGGUCUCGGAGGGCGCGAUCAAAGGCGGAUAUCGCGCCUAUUGCCAUAGAUGGGAGCAUUUAUGGCGUUGGCUGGCGGCGAGUAACGGUCGUAAGUCGGUGAUUCAGGUAUGGAAAUCGCCUAUUUAGGGCAAACUCGCCGAGUUUCCAGGGGCGAGAUGUGCAGUCUACCAUACUGCCGAUCUGGGCCCUAACUCGGCGAUUUGUCCCUAAAGUCGGCGACUUGGUAGUCCAAUCGUGACUUACGGGUUAACUCUGCGAUUUGGACGAUGAACUUGUUCCGCACCGUGGGAGCUCUCCGGGGGUCCGGCGUAAAGCGACGGAACCCUAGUCCUUGUUGAAAGGCGUUGCUGGGAGUGACUGCCGUAAUCAGGCAUGUCUCACCACAAACUUUCUUAAAUAUCAAAUUAAAUUUUUUCAAAAUAUUGAUAUUUCGAACUACUAAAGUAGCGACAUCUUGGGAUGAAAAAAUAUGAAUAUUUUCAAUUUUUCUCAAAAUUAUAUCUGCACACAACACAUCAUUAGAAAUUGAAGAAACUAUUUGGGCUCUGCCAAGCCCAAAUAUGAAGAUUUCGCAGGUCCUAUGUUGUUGUUGAAUAAGCGAUCAUAGGAGUGAAAGUCGGAGAGCACACACGCGAUCGAUAUUUGGGCUUGACAGAGCUAAGAUUAAACAACAAUUAAUUUAUUAAUAUGUAGAGAAAAUGCGAGAUGAUAAAAUACAGUGUAUAAUCAACGAGAGAGAGCAGAGUAAAAGUUAGGAUUCCAGAGGAACGAAGAUAUAUACUCACGAGAGCGGCAGCGAGAGUAGAAAAAAAACUGCCAGAACAUCUAACAUAUAAACCCUAGAAAACAAUUUAUACCUAAGGUUUUUUGACCUAAUCUGUGAUUAAGAUAAUCAUAGGGAUAUAAGAGCAAUUAAGUAUAAAAUAAAUUUUAAUAUAUCGGAUUGGGCAUAUUGGACCCUUAACAAUAUAACAUAUCAUUAUAAGAAAUUAAAGAUUUCAACGUAUUAAAAUUUUCAAUUGUUUGAUUACUCGAACAUUCGUAAUUUUAUUCGAAUGAUUUUCGUUUUUUCUCCUUCCAAAAACCGAGUUAAUUUUCUAAUCCUAUUUAAUUAGUAGUUAUUAAAAAGGUUAUAAUAGUUUUUUUAACUUUGAUUUUUUCUUUAAUUUUUCCAUCAUUAAUGUAUAUGUAUAAUUUUCUCUUUUUUCGUCAAAUCAAAAAAUUUGAAUAUUUUAAAUUAAAAAAAAUGUUAACAUCUCUUGAAAUAUCAUAAAUGCAUUCACAUACAUUUUUCGAAAAAAAUUAAAUAUAUAUGAUUUUUUAUCAAAAAAUGUAAACGAUUUCGUAUCAAAAAUUGUACACGAUUUCGUAUAAAAAAUGUACACGAUUUCGUAUCAAAAAAUGUACACGAUUUCGUAUCAAAAAAUGCACACGAUUUUAUAUAAUAAAAUGUCCAUGAUUUGUAUUAUAAAAUGUACGUGAUUUUGUAUUUAAUUAAAAAUGUAUACAAAAUCGGAUUUCAUGGGUGAAAAUAUUCACCCGAACCCAAACCUGACAUGUUCAGGUUAAAUCUAAUCCAUGCCAACCCCUAGUUUUGAUCCAUUUUUUUUGAAAAAAUGACUUGGCGGUGUGAGAAAAUAUUAACCAGUUCCAAAUUUUUCCGAGGGCGACCUUAACCAGUUCCUAAUUUUUCUCCUUAUAGAAUCAACUGUGGACAUAUAUAAAAUCAAAAUAAGAUGAACAUAUAUAAAAUAUAUAUAAAAAAGUCAUUUGCCAUACAAAAGUUAUCUAUUUUUAUGAACUUAUAUCUAUUUUUUCGUUGUGUGAUUUGUCACCAUAUAUUCCAUAGACAAUUUCCAUAUUUAAGAAUCCACCCACCAUAUUUAUUCUCCUAGGCCGGAGAUUUAACCAAAUUCGCUAUCCUUUUACUUAUUCUCUGCAAACCUAACGACGUUAAAGUUUGAUUUGUUGUUGGCGUUUGAUUUUACAAUCACAUUUUUUUCUCUAUUUUUUUAAUUUUUUGCAGGACAUGUUCAUUUCUUAUGAUGAAGAUCUUACAUGUUCAAGAGGAGGAGAUCGAAUUUCGAGAUUUGUACGUACCUGUUGAUCUAAUUAAACCCUCAAAUUUCAUUGUCCCCGAAGAAACUAGAAAUGCGGAAUCUAGAAGAUUGUAUUUUGAUCUCGAUUCAUUAUUUUGACGUGUAUGUAGGGUAGACAAUCUCGACCUUUGCCAUGUUGGGUGCGCUCGCAUGGCAGGUCACCUAAUAAAGAGGAAUCACUUUUUUUGGGUUGGGAGAGGAGAUCGCAUGGGAAUUGGGAUGAUAUAUUAAUUUCCCCCUAUUUUGAUAUUCCCAGGAUCAUCCUCUCCAAGAUCGGGCUUUGUGUUCUGAUCUUUUCUCCAUGGAUUGUUUAUGUUCUUUCAUUAUCCAUUAUCCUUCCUCCCAUGCAACUCCCUCACCGACAUCAUCGAUCAAAGAUAAUAACCUGAACCCUAACCCAUAUCCUACGAACGAGGUAUACAUUGAAUUUAAACUAAUUACGUUCUAUGAAUAAUCCAAUCGUACAAAAUGAAACGAAUGACUUCCUAAUCUUCAAUUGAUCACCGUUCAAAUCGUCAAUCAAGGUAUAACGCUAAUAUGCUUUCCAUUUCGCUUCGAAUAUAUAUAGCUUCAUUUCUUAUAAUUCAAAAAAUAAUAUUGUGAGAUUUAUAUUUAAAGAUAAUUGUGUUACUCCAUAAGAAUAUUUAUUUAUUUAAUUAUUAGAAUUGUCUCUAGAUGAAUAAUUACUGUUUUUUUGGGAGAAAUAAAGAUAUUGUAUAUCAUAUAUAUAUAUAUAAUUAUAUAUAUAUACAUAGGGUCAGAUUCAGAUGAGAUAAGGGUUCAUGAGAUAUUAUGUGAUCAUGACCCCUCAAGUAAACAUUUUGAUUCACAGUUUGAUGUAAAUCUGAAGGCUGACAUGACAAAAUUUCAUGGACUAUUAUCUCAUCGAUCUAAUUUUUACCCCAUGCAUAUUUGAUGGAUGAUAUUGCUCGCGAUCGGGAAACAAAACUCUGGGGUGAUGAUAAAAAGGCCACGGGUAUGUUACAUUCGAAGGUGUAAAUGAAAAUAACUACUAUGGACUUCUGACUUAGGUAUAUACUUAUCUCCAAACAAUGUGAUUGAAAAAUUGACAAAGGAAUGCAAAAUAGAACAUUUAAUUUAAAAUAUCUUAAUUAACAUUAUUUUUGUAGAAUAAAGAAGAUGGUAAUCGAUAAAGUUUGAUUAUUGCAAGGUUUGCAAGGCUACCGAUAGUUCGACUAUAAUUAAAGGCCGUUGGUAUUGAAAUCAACCAUCCCAUACAUUUCUUGUACUUGGAGCAAGAGAUUGUACAUUAAUCAAUCCAAAAAAUUUGAAACCCUAAAGUGGCUAAACUGACGACUUUGCCUGACCCCAAGAGAUCGACGACAAGUAAUGUAAAAUUAGCCACGGAUUUAAUUAAAGGGUUUUGAAAAUUAGUUCUGGACACAAGUCUUAUUUCUUGUUGUGAUGGCAAAAAAUAUAUAAGAAAAAUUAGGGUUUUAAAAAAUUCUUGUUU